RNAcentral lists this ribosomal RNA (248 nucleotides) under Enterococcus faecium. RNAcentral's name for it is "partial 16S ribosomal RNA". It matches the Rfam family "Bacterial small subunit ribosomal RNA", at positions 1294 to 1533 of the family's 1533-position model. The record is from RNAcentral. Lineage: Bacteria; Bacillati; Bacillota; Bacilli; Lactobacillales; Enterococcaceae.
CGGAUUGCAGGCUGCAACUCGCCUGCAUGAAGCCGGAAUCGCUAGUAAUCGCGGAUCAGCACGCCGCGGUGAAUACGUUCCCGGGCCUUGUACACACCGCCCGUCACACCACGAGAGUUUGUAACACCCGAAGUCGGUGAGGUAACCUUUUGGAGCCAGCCGCCUAAGGUGGGAUAGAUGAUUGGGGUGAAGUCGUAACAAGGUAGCCGUAUCGGAAGGUGCGGCUGGAUCACCUCCUUUCUAAGGAA